RNAcentral lists this ribosomal RNA (2671 nucleotides) under Klebsiella pneumoniae. RNAcentral's name for it is "bacterial LSU rRNA". It matches the Rfam family "Bacterial large subunit ribosomal RNA". The record is from RNAcentral. Lineage: Bacteria; Pseudomonadati; Pseudomonadota; Gammaproteobacteria; Enterobacterales; Enterobacteriaceae.
ACAACGCCGAAGAUGUUUUGGCGGAUUUGAGANCUAUCGUUAACUGAAUACAUAGGUUAACGAGGCGAACCGGGGGAACUGAAACAUCUAAGUACCCCGAGGAAAAGAAAUCAACCGAGAUUCCCCCAGUAGCGGCGAGCGAACGGGGAGCAGCCCAGAGUCUGAAUCAGCUUGUGUGUUAGUGGAACGGUCUGGAAAGUCCGACGGUACAGGGUGAUAGUCCCGUACACCAAAAUGCACAGGCUGUGAACUCGAAGAGUAGGGCGGGACACGUGGUAUCCUGUCUGAAUAUGGGGGGACCAUCCUCCAAGGCUAAAUACUCCUGACUGACCGAUAGUGAACCAGUACCGUGAGGGAAAGGCGAAAAGAACCCCGGCGAGGGGAGUGAAAAAGAACCUGAAACCGUGUACGUACAAGCAGUGGGAGCACCUUCGGGUGUGACUGCGUACCUUUUGUAUAAUGGGUCAGCGACUUAUAUUCUGUAGCAAGGUUAACCGUAUAGGGGAGCCGCAGGGAAACCGAGUCUUAACUGGGCGUUAAGUUGCAGGGUAUAGACCCGAAACCCGGUGAUCUAGCCAUGGGCAGGUUGAAGGUUGGGUAACACUAACUGGAGGACCGAACCGACUAAUGUUGAAAAAUUAGCGGAUGACUUGUGGCUGGGGGUGAAAGGCCAAUCAAACCGGGAGAUAGCUGGUUCUCCCCGAAAGCUAUUUAGGUAGCGCCUCGUGAACUCAUCUUCGGGGGUAGAGCACUGUUUCGGCUAGGGGGUCAUCCCGACUUACCAACCCGAUGCAAACUACGAAUACCGAAGAAUGUUAUCACGGGAGACACACGGCGGGUGCUAACGUCCGUCGUGAAGAGGGAAACAACCCAGACCGCCAGCUAAGGUCCCAAAGUCAUGGUUAAGUGGGAAACGAUGUGGGAAGGCACAGACAGCCAGGAUGUUGGCUUAGAAGCAGCCAUCAUUUAAAGAAAGCGUAAUAGCUCACUGGUCGAGUCGGCCUGCGCGGAAGAUGUAACGGGGCUAAACCAUGCACCGAAGCUGCGGCAGCGACACUAUGUGUUGUUGGGUAGGGGAGCGUUCUGUAAGCCUGCGAAGGUGUGCUGUGAGGCAUGCUGGAGGUAUCAGAAGUGCGAAUGCUGACAUAAGUAACGAUAAAGCGGGUGAAAAGCCCGCUCGCCGGAAGACCAAGGGUUCCUGUCCAACGUUAAUCGGGGCAGGGUGAGUCGACCCCUAAGGCGAGGCCGAAAGGCGUAGUCGAUGGGAAACAGGUUAAUAUUCCUGUACUUGGUGUUACUGCGAAGGGGGGACGGAGAAGGCUAUGUUAGCCGGGCGACGGUUGUCCCGGUUUAAGCAUGUAGGCUGGUUAUCCAGGCAAAUCCGGAUAAUCAAGGCUGAGGUGUGAUGACGAGGCACUACGGUGCUGAAGUAACAAAUGCCCUGCUUCCAGGAAAAGCCUCUAAGCAUCAGGUAACAUCAAAUCGUACCCCAAACCGACACAGGUGGUCAGGUAGAGAAUACCAAGGCGCUUGAGAGAACUCGGGUGAAGGAACUAGGCAAAAUGGUGCCGUAACUUCGGGAGAAGGCACGCUGGUGUGUAGGUGAAGUCCCUGCGGAUGGAGCUGAGACCAGUCGAAGAUACCAGCUGGCUGCAACUGUUUAUUAAAAACACAGCACUGUGCAAACACGAAAGUGGACGUAUACGGUGUGACGCCUGCCCGGUGCCGGAAGGUUAAUUGAUGGGGUUAUCCGUAAGGAGAAGCUCUUGAUCGAAGCCCCGGUAAACGGCGGCCGUAACUAUAACGGUCCUAAGGUAGCGAAAUUCCUUGUCGGGUAAGUUCCGACCUGCACGAAUGGCGUAAUGAUGGCCAGGCUGUCUCCACCCGAGACUCAGUGAAAUUGAACUCGCUGUGAAGAUGCAGUGUACCCGCGGCAAGACGGAAAGACCCCGUGAACCUUUACUAUAGCUUGACACUGAACAUUGAGCCUUGAUGUGUAGGAUAGGUGGGAGGCUUUGAAGCGUGGACGCCAGUCUGCGUGGAGCCAACCUUGAAAUACCACCCUUUAAUGUUUGAUGUUCUAACGUUGGCCCCUGACCGGGGUUGCGGACAGUGUCUGGUGGGUAGUUUGACUGGGGCGGUCUCCUCCCAAAGCGUAACGGAGGAGCACGAAGGUUAGCUAAUCCUGGUCGGACAUCAGGAGGUUAGUGCAAUGGCAUAAGCUAGCUUGACUGCGAGCGUGACGGCGCGAGCAGGUGCGAAAGCAGGUCAUAGUGAUCCGGUGGUUCUGAAUGGAAGGGCCAUCGCUCAACGGAUAAAAGGUACUCCGGGGAUAACAGGCUGAUACCGCCCAAGAGUUCAUAUCGACGGCGGUGUUUGGCACCUCGAUGUCGGCUCAUCACAUCCUGGGGCUGAAGUAGGUCCCAAGGGUAUGGCUGUUCGCCAUUUAAAGUGGUACGCGAGCUGGGUUUAGAACGUCGUGAGACAGUUCGGUCCCUAUCUGCCGUGGGCGCUGGAGAAUUGAGGGGGGCUGCUCCUAGUACGAGAGGACCGGAGUGGACGCAUCACUGGUGUUCGGGUUGUCAUGCCAAUGGCACUGCCCGGUAGCUAAAUGCGGAAGAGAUAAGUGCUGAAAGCAUCUAAGCACGAAACUUGCCCCGAGAUGAGUUCU